Molecule: ribosomal RNA, 224 nt
Filed under: Staphylococcus aureus
Lineage: Bacteria; Bacillati; Bacillota; Bacilli; Caryophanales; Staphylococcaceae
Description: partial 23S ribosomal RNA
Rfam family: Bacterial large subunit ribosomal RNA
Source: RNAcentral
GAAACCGUGUGCUUACAAGUAGUCAGAGCCCGUUAAUGGGUGAUGGCGUGCCUUUUGUAGAAUGAACCGGCGAGUUACGAUUUGAUGCAAGGUUAAGCAGUAAAUGUGGAGCCGUAGCGAAAGCGAGUCUGAAUAGGGCGUUUAGUAUUUGGUCGUAGACCCGAAACCAGGUGAUCUACCCUUGGUCAGGUUGAAGUUCAGGUAACACUGAAUGGAGGACCGAA